RNAcentral lists this ribosomal RNA (651 nucleotides) under uncultured bacterium. Its description in RNAcentral is "bacterial SSU rRNA". It matches the Rfam family "Bacterial small subunit ribosomal RNA", at positions 62 to 730 of the family's 1533-position model. The record is from RNAcentral.
UCGACUGGAAUUCACUUAGGUGAUAGUACGGUGGCGGACGGGUGAGUAACGCGUAAAGGACUUGCCCUCUAGACUGGGACAACUACUGGAAACGGUAGCUAAUACCGGAUAUUAUGAGAACCUCGCAUGGGGAAGUUAUGAAAGCUAUAUGCGCCAGAGGAGAGCUUUGCGUGCCAUUAGGUAGUUGGUAGGGUAAUGGCCUACCAAGCCGACGAUGGCUAGCCGGCCUGAGAGGGUGAACGGCCACAAGGGGACUGAGACACGGCCCUUACUCCUACGGGAGGCAGCAGUGGGGAAUAUUGGACAAAGGACCAAAAGUCUGAUCCAGCAAUUCUGUGUGCACGAUGAAGGUUUUCGGAUCGUAAAGUGCUUUCAGCAGGGAAGAAAAAAAUGACGGUACCUGCAGAAGAAGCGACGGCUAAAUACGUGCCAGCAGCCGCGGUAAUACGUAUGUCGCAAGCGUUAUCCGGAAUUAUUGGGCGUAAAGCGCGUCUAGGCGGCCUUUUAAGUCUGAUGUGAAAAUGCGGGGCUCAACUCCGUAUUGCGUUGGAAACUGGAAGGCUAGAGUAUCAGAGAGGUGGGCGGAACUACAAGUGUAGAGGUGAAAUUCGUAGAUAUUUGUAGGAAUGCCGAUUGGGAAGCCAGCUCACU